Molecule: ribosomal RNA, 559 nt
Filed under: uncultured Antarctic soil bacterium
Lineage: Bacteria
Description: bacterial SSU rRNA
Rfam family: Bacterial small subunit ribosomal RNA
Source: RNAcentral
UUUUGGCUGCACCCUCUUAAGACUAGCGAAUCCGCGGCCGCCUGCAGGUCGACGAUAUGACCGAGCGACCAACGCGUUACGUGUAUGGAACGAGGGUUCUACAGGGCCACCUAAAUAGCUCAGCGUAAUGAUGAUUAUAGCUGUUUCCUGUGGCAUGUAAAAGUGGCAUCACUUUUACAUUAAAAUUACGGUGGUAAUAGAUGAGUAUGCCGUCCCAUUAGUUAGUUGGUAAGGUAACGGCUUACCAAGGCAGCGAUGGGUAGGGGUCCUGAGAGGGAGAUCCCCCACACUGGUACUGAGAUACGGACCAGACUCCUACGGGAGGCAGCAGUGAGGAAUAUUGGACAAUGGAGGCAACUCUGAUCCAGCCAUGCCGCGUGCAGGAAGACUGCCCUAUGGGUUGUAAACUGCUUUUACAGAGGAAGAACCGCACCCACGUGUGGGUGUUUGACCGGUCUCUGCGAAUAAGGAUCGGCUAACUCCGUGCCACACCGCGGUAAUACCGAGGAUCCAACCUUAUCCGAAUCAUUGGGUUUAAANGGUCCGUAGGCGGGACAUA